This 413-nucleotide ribosomal RNA is filed under the name Plectonema sp. KL01. RNAcentral describes it as "bacterial LSU rRNA". It matches the Rfam family "Bacterial large subunit ribosomal RNA", at positions 999 to 1417 of the family's 2925-position model. The record is from RNAcentral. Lineage: Bacteria; Bacillati; Cyanobacteriota; Cyanophyceae; Oscillatoriales; Microcoleaceae.
UAAGCUUCGUCGUUGAAAGGGAAACAGCUCAGACCACCAGCUAAGGUGCCUAAAUGGACGCUAAGUGGUAAAGGAGGUGGGAUUGCAUAGACAACCAGGAGAUAUGCCUAGAAGUAGCCAUCCUUAAAAGAGUGCGUAAUAGAUCACUGGUCAAGCGAUCCUAGUCGAAAAUGAACGGGACUAAGCAUCUUACCGAACAUGUGGACUUGUAGUUAUACAGGUGGUAGAGGAGCGUUCUGCAUAGGGAGAAGCAUUAGCGAGAGCAGAUGUGGACAGUGCAGAAGUGAGAAUGUCGGCUUGAGUAGCGAAAACAUUGGUGAGAAUCCCUUGCCCCGAAACCAUUAGGGUUCCUCCGGACGGCUCGUCUGCGGAGCGUUAGUCGGGACCUAAGGCGAGGCCGAAAGGCGUAGUCG